GGCAGCUAGGGCAGUCUAAUAGUUAGCGUGCUAGACUUCGGAUCGAGCGGUCCAGGUUCAAGCCCUGGCCUGGGUCA
Molecule: non-coding RNA, 77 nt
Organism: Desmophyllum pertusum
Lineage: Eukaryota; Metazoa; Cnidaria; Anthozoa; Scleractinia; Caryophylliidae
Source: the annotation of a GenBank genome assembly